GUAGGUGAACCUGCGGAAGGAUCAUUACAGAGUUCAUGCCCUUAUGGGUAGAUCUCCCACCCUUGAAUACUAUACCUUUGUUGCUUUGGCGGGCCGCUUCGGCUACUGGCUCCGGCUGGUGAGUGCCCGCCAAAGGAUCCCAAAACUCUGAAUAUUAGUGUCGUCUGAGUACUAUAUAAUAGUUAAAACUUUCAACAACGGAUCUCUUGGUUCUG
RNAcentral lists this unclassified non-coding RNA (215 nucleotides) under rhizosphere metagenome. Its description in RNAcentral is "partial ribosomal RNA internal transcribed spacer region". The record is from RNAcentral.